RNAcentral lists this unclassified non-coding RNA (7047 nucleotides) under Diabrotica virgifera virgifera (western corn rootworm). Its description in RNAcentral is "gastrula zinc finger protein XlCGF57.1-like". The record is from RNAcentral. Lineage: Eukaryota; Metazoa; Arthropoda; Insecta; Coleoptera; Chrysomelidae.
UGAAAAGCCCACACUUAACAGAAAUGAAGCAUAUUAUCGAUUAUUCUAGUAAAAAUGUUAAAUUAAUCCUUGUACAAAACAAAAUUACAAAUAAAUGAAACUAAAAUUAUCUAAAACACAUACAUAAGAACUGAUAGAAUGUGAUAGAAUACCCAUAGAGUAAUACCAUUUUAUGUUUCCGCCCCGGCCGCCAUAUUGACAUAAUCUUGACAGCAUGUUGGAAUGGGCGUGAACCAAUGAACUGUCAACACCGAGUUGACAGUUCAUUGGCGUGAACCCGCAAACAAAACAAAACAACAGCAGAAAACAGAACGGAGAGAAGUAAAAAAGACUCUUUUUAUUUACUUUUUACUAUUUACUUGAUGCCUAAGACCAAGACAGCAACUUAACUAUAGCAAGAAAGAGCACUAAGAACUAAGGGUCACAUAGAAUAACAGUAUGGAGAAACAAGAAGACAAUUACACAAAUAACGAAGUAUCUAAUAUAAAAUGCGAAACCGAAUUUGAGAACAAUGGUGUGAACAAUACAGAAUUUCCAGUUACCAUAAAAAAUGAAUUCAAACAAGAAAUGCUUCUACCUGAGGAUGAUACAACUAAUGACGAUUCCAAGGAUUGGUUCAUCCAAAUGAAUACGGCAGUAUCAGUUGAAGAUGUAAAACAUGAACAAAUUGAAGAUGAUGGCGAUUUGGUCAACUGUAAAAAUUUGAAGUCUGAACCAAAUAUUAAGGAAGAGGAAGACAUAAUUGAAGAAAAGCAGAGUCAAUGUGGUUCCUCCUCUGAAGAAAUACACAAUGAUGCAAACAGUGAUUUGAAAUCGAACAAACGCCUGGUAGGAGAGGACACAAAAACUGUUGAUACUUCAUUCACUUGUGAAAUUUGCUCCAAACAGUAUUUUUUAGAGCAUAAUUUAAAAAGACAUAUGAAGUCGCAUGAUGGUGAAGACAAACGGCAUAAUGAUGAAGAAAAAGAAAAACCUUUUGAAUGUGACGUUUGUUUUAAACGGUUUAAAACUAAUUUAGAAGUAAAAUCGCACAUGAGAACUCACACUGGAGAAACAUUUAAGUGUGAACUUUGCCCCAAAGAGUAUUUUUCCAAUUAUUCUUUAAAAUUACAUAUGAGAUGGCACACAGGAGAAACUUUUUCAUGUAAAAUAUGCUCCAAACAAUUUGUAAGAAGUUCUAAAUUCAACGCACAUAUGUUAAAACACAGUGAAGGGAGUAAAGAAAGGCGUUUCACAUGUGUCAUUUGCUCCGAAACAUUUUCAACCAUUUAUAAUUUAAGACGACAUUCAAGAUGGCACACUGGAGAAACUUAUACGUGCGAGAUUUGCUCCAAACAGUUCGUUGACCGUCAUUAUUUUAACAUCCAUUUGAGAUUGCAUACGGGCGCAAAACCUUUUCAGUGUGAAAUUUGUUCAAAACAUUUUUCACACAAGUCCGGAGUAAAAGUACAUAUGAGAACACAUACUGGAGAAAAACCCUUCAGCUGUGAAAUCUGCUCAAAACAGUGUGUAACCAGUUCUGAUUUAAAGGUUCAUAUGAGAAAGCACACUAAAGAAGUGCCUUACGAAUGCGAAAUUUGCCCCAAGAAGUAUGCAACAAGUAGUGGAUUAAAAAAACAUAUGGAAAAACGUCCUUUCAAGUGUGAAACUUGUCUGAGACACUAUAAAACAAAUAAAGAUCUUCAAUUGCAUAUCAAAUUGCACACUGGAGGAGAAACUUUUUCGUGCGAAGUUGGUUCAAAACUUCUUUCUACAUAUUCUUCGCUGAGAGUUCAAUUGAGAACACAUACUGAAAGAAUACCCUUCACAUGCGAAGUUUGCUCCAAAGGAUUUUUUAGCAGUGCCACGUUAAAAUUACAUAUGACGGUGCAUACGAAAGAACUUUUUCCGUGUGAACUGUGCCCUAAACAAUUCAUAACAAAAUCCAAAUUGAAAAUACAUAUUAUGAGAAUGCAUACAGAUGACAGGCCUUUCCCCUGUAAAGUUUGCCCCAAACGGUUUGCAGUGAAAAAUGAGUUAAUUUCACACAUGAGAUGGCACACUAGAGACGUUCUUUUCACAUGUGAAAUUUGCAGUAAACAAUUCGUUACCAGGACAGUACUAACUAGACAUAUUAUGAGAAUUCAUACGGCGGAAAAACCAUUCAAAUGUGAAAUUUGCAAUAAACAAUUUAUUAUCAAGACAGAAUUAACUAAUCAUAUGAUAACUCAUACGGGGGAAAAACCAUUCUCCUGCGAAAUUUGCUGCAAACAGUUUGUUGUCAAAAGAUCAUUAACUGAUCAUAUGAUAACUCAUACGGGGGAAAACCCAUUCUCCUGCGAAAUUUGCUACAAACAGUUUGUUGGCAAAAGAUCAUUAACUAAUCAUAUGAUAACGCAUACGAGGGGAAAACCAUUCUCCUGCGAAAUUUGCUACAAACAGUUUGUUGUCAAAAGAUCAUUAACUAAUCAUAUGAUAACUCAUACGGGGGAAAAACCAUUCUCCUGCGAAAUUUGCUGCAAACAGUUUGUUUACAAAAUAUCAUUAAAUAAUCAUAUGAUAACUCAUACGGGGGGAAAACCAUUUUCCUGCGAAAUUUGCUGCCAACAGUUUGUUACCAAAAUAUCAUUAUCUAAUCAUAUGAGAACUCAUCCGAGGGAGAAACCAUUCUCCUGUGAAAUUUGCUGCAAACAGUUCGAUAUCAAAAGAUCAUUAAAUAGACAUAUGAGAACUCAUACGGAGGAAAACCCAAUUCAAACGUGAACUUUGCUUUAAAGAUUUCGCAACUAAGUUCUUAGUGCAGCCAAUGGAGUUUUUACUUGAAGGUAUGAUUCCGAACAAAAGUUUAUAAUAUGGUUUUCUAUAGGCUGUACGUUAAGCACAGCGGCACUGUCGCCGAUGCGAGACGUACGCAAAAUGUCGCCAAAACGCUGACCGCAGUACUGAUCCAGAACCAGUAGUAUCAAUAGGGCUUUUCAUCGAUUGUCAUUUGUUUCGAGCUUCUGUCAUGUGUCACAUAAUAUUAAUAUAUCUACGUCAUACGUCUUUGGUUUGUAUUAUUGUAAAUACCUAAGGGCCAGUUGUUCGAACGAUAAUCAACAUUGAUCACUAUCAAAUACUUAAUUACUGUCACAACUGUCAAUGUCAACUUUGGUUGGGUUGCCGAAGACAUAAUUAUUGAUGACAAUUAUGAAAUUAGUUAAUCAAUUAUGUUAAUAAUUGUUAUGUUAAUUGACUAACUAAUCUCAUAAUUAUAAUUAACUAUGUUUUAGCAACCCAACCAAAGUUGACAUUGACAGUUGUGACAAUAAUUAAAUAUUUGAUAGUGAUCAAUGUUGAUUAGCGUUCGAACAACCGGCCCUUAGAGUAUGGAAAAUUUUUUACCCUCUCCCUGGAGUGACCGCAACGAGAACGAAACUGAAGCCAAAACCAAGUUAGAACCAAACACGAGUGCCAGUGGCGUAUCGCGUAGGCCAGAAGAAACUAUAUAAAACUACAUAAUUAAAUAAUAUUGCUUGUAGGUUUAGUUCAAUUUUCAAUUUUUAUUAAUUACACAAUAUUAUGCAUGGCUUACAUAGAAAGAUUUAAACAAAUAACAGUAUUUUAUUAUGUUGAACUUUUAUACCCACUCAAAAUAAAACAGGAUUAGGAAUUAGGGUAUGUGACGAAAGCAAACUUUUUGAAAUAUUGAUUAAUGAUAGAUAUCUUUAUUUCACAUAGGUCGCAAAACUUCGGCUCCAAUACUAUAUUUAAAUGGGAUUUAUUUUUUCGAAUUCUGAGAAAAAAGUUACAGGGGUGAAAAACUAAGAGACAAUUUAGUGUGAUUUUUAUUUUCAAAGAUCUCAUUCAAAAGAAACUUUUUAUUUAUUCUGAGGGACUUUCAGCCCUCGGUAAUAAUUUAGUCUUUCAUUCUGCGUUUAAAUUUUUCAAAAGUAUUACUUUUUCAGUAUAGGGCUUUUCAUUCACAGUCAUUUGUUUCGAGCUUCUGUCAUGUGUCACAUAAUAUUAAUAUAUCUACGUCAUACGUUAUUGGUAUAUAACAAUGAUACCAACUAGAAACGUAUGACGUAGAUAUAUUAAUAUUAUGUGACACAUGACAGAAGCUCGAAACAAAUGGCAAUCGAUGAAAAGCCCUAUAGGGCUUUUCAUUCACAGUCAUUUGUUUCGAGCUUCUGUCAUGUGUCACAUAAUAUUAAUAUAUCUACGUCAUACGUUAUUGGUAUAUAACAAUGAUACUAACUAGAGACGUAUGACGUAGAUAUAUUAAUAUUAUGUGACACAUGACAGAAGCUUGAAACAAAUGGCAAUCGAUGAAAAGCCCUAUAGGGCUUUUCAUUCACAGUCAUUUGUUUCGAAUUUCUGUCAUGUGUCACAUAAUAUUAAUAUAUCUACGUCAUACGUUAUUGGUAUACAGGGUGUCCCGGAAAAUAGUGCGUUCCUUAAAGGUAUAAGUAGAAGGCACCAUGUAGAACAAAAAACUCUUAUAACAUUUUUUUCUAAAUGCAACCGUUUGACCAAAAAAUUAAAAUGUAUUCUGGUAUGUAAAUUUAAAUCUGACAACUAUGUGCGGUACGCAAAUUUAAGCAUAGACAGUCCCAUGUAAACAGAUAGUUUUAGAGAAUCCUGUUUAGUGUCAAUGCCGAAAAUGUUUUCGAAUAGUGAGUGUAUUACCUAUUAUGUUAUUACCUAUGAAUGGUGUUUGUGAAAGGUUACUUGAAACAUCUAUUCGGUAUAAUAAUUAUUUUCAAGUAAGUAAAACUUAGUUAUUUCAGUUCACAAGUAAACAAAUUACUGAGACAUUAUCUGGCGUAUUUAAGUUCCACUGUAAACUAUUAAAACUAUGUAAUUCAGUUAAAGCCCUCAGCAAUACUCAGCAUUCAACCCAUUUAAACCUUACUAAAUACAUAAUACUAGUUCAGUUAAAAGAUGUGUUUUUAUGUUAAAAGAUGUGGUAAUUCGUUUAAAAUUAUGCAACAGGUAUCUCAAUACAUUUCAAAAGAAAAUAAUUUUAGUAAACAAAUCGUAAAUACAUAAGUAUUACCUACUAUUAGGUUGGAUUAUUUUAAAUACUGUUAAUCACAAUCACAAACGAGUUUUUAUUAUCUGUUAUUAUUCCGUAGUGCGUACGAUGUUGCCAGUUUAUUAAAAUUUCCAAACAUUAAAAUACAGGUAUAUGGAAAACAAUGUUAACUUUUUUUUGGAAACGGUUAAUUUUAGAAAAAAAUGGUAUAGGACUUUUUUGUUCCAAACUGUGUAUUCUCUCCAUACCUUAAAGGAACGCACUAUUUUCCGGGACACCCUGUAUAACAAUGAUACAAACUAGAGACGUAUGACGUAGAUAUAUUAUUAUUAUGUGACACAUGACAGAAGCUUGAAACAAAUGGCAAUCGAUGAAAAGCCCUAUAGGGCUUUUCAUUCACAGUCAUUUGUUUCGAGCUUCUGUCAUGUGUCACAUAAUAUUAAUAUAUCUACGUCAUACGUUACUGGUAUAUAACAAUGAUACAAACUAGAGACGUAUGACGUAGAUAUAUUAUUAUUAUGUGACACAUGACAGAAGCUCGAAACAAAUGGCAAUCGAUAAAAAGCCCUAUAGGGCUUUUUAUUCACAGUCAUUUGUUUCGAGCUUCUGUCAUGUGUCACAUAAUAUUAAUAUAUCUACGACAUACGUUAUUGGUAUAUAACAAUAAUACAAACCAAAGACGUAUGACGUAGAUAUAUUAAUAUUAUGUGACACAUGACAGAAGCUCGAAACAAAUGACAAUCUAUGAAAAGCCCUAUUGGAAAAAAAUGAACACCUUGUCAGUGGUAAUAUUUUCCAAAUUUAAUAUUCGCUAUCUUUGUCGUACAACGCGCUCAGUCGAACAGAAUGUGCUGACAAGACAGCGGCAAUUUUAGAUAUUUGACACGGCUUUAGGAAUAAUAAUGUUUGAUCCAAAAUUAUUGUCACCAUAGGUGGCUCUCAACGACAGAGAUAGAUAUACAGUUCAUGUCUGUUCUUAAUUCAGAUAUACUACUUUCCAGUUUACGUCAACUUUGCAGUGCACGUCAACUUAACAAGAAAAGUUAGGUUAUGUAGAGAUGUUGGUGGUGGACAUAUACAGCAUCCUGUUUGAUUUUAUUUAUUAUUGUUACUUAUAAUUGUGUUAAUUCUUUUUAUUUUAGAUUAAAGUUCUGUGUUAAAGAUUUUGACUGAUUUUUUAUGUUUUAUAGGGUAGUGGCACCAGUAGUUGACCAGUACCCGGUAAUUGACCAAAUUGUUUUUAAUGAGCUGAAAUAAGAAAUCUAUAACGUUUUGUUGGUUACUUAUAGCUCUAAACUGUGAAUAAUAUAUUUGUCCACUAGAUGUCGCAAAUAACUUGUAUAAAGUUUCCGCUUAAGUUGCCAUUUUAAGUCCAGUUUGUAGUUUCUCACAGUGUAGAGGCCAAUAAGCCAUUUUCCAAUAAGCGUGAAACAUGUCUGAGACUAAAAAGAAGUUUUUUAAAUAUACAGAAGAACAAUUACAACUGGCUAUAAAUGAUGUUUCUAAUAAUAUAUGCAGCAUUCGACAAGCAGAGAGAUUGUAUGGUGUUCCACAUUCCACGUUAAUAAAUAAAUUAAAAGGAAAAUCUCCCUUAGUAAGACAAAUGGGUCCUCCCACAAUAUUGACAAAAGAUGAGGAAAGCCUUUUGGUCAGAUGGCUUUUAGCAAAUGCUAAAAAAGGAUUUCCCUUAAACAAGGCCACCCUUUGCGAAACUGUAAGAGAUAUUAUUAAAGAUGAUGAUCGUGUUAACAAAUUUCGUGAUGGCAUGCCUGGGAAAAAGUGGUUCUCAGCAUUUUUGAAACGUCACCAGGAAGUUUGCCAACGUCAUGCUGAGUCUAUAAAUGGAGCACGGGCCUGCGUAACUGAGGGCUCUAUACGAGAAUGGCAUGAUUCCAUUCAAAGAUAUUUAAUUGAAGAAAAUGCUGAGGAUAUCUUAAAUGAUCCUUCUAGAAUUUUAAAUUCUGAUGAAUCUGGAUUUGCAGUACCUAAAUCCAAAAACUGGUCUUGUAUUGGGUCCUCGAGGAAUGAGAAACUUUUAUGAAAUUAAA